GCGGCGGCGGCGGCGGCGGUGGCGGCGGGGCCGGGCGGGCACAGCGGCGGCGGCGCCAUGAGGCCCGGGCAGGGGCACCGAGAGGCCGUCACUGCCUGGCCAUGCGCGAGAUGAGGCGUGCGGUGAUAGACAGGAGGCAGCAGCAUCCUUAGCACCGUUUCUGGAUCAGCACAGCCCACACCACCACGUUUUGGCACUGGAUUAAUGUGAAAGAAAAGCGUUUCUAAAUGGGGACCGCACUGCUGACGUGAUGAAAGGGCUGUUGUUUCUUGGUAGGGUCUGUCUGCAGGGUUCUGCCACAUGUCCACAGCCCGGAUUGCAAAGCAAGGAGGAACUGCAACCUGUAGGUCACCCUGUGCGGCAGCAGAGUCCUAAAAGCUUCUGUUCCUGAUGGGAUCCCUGUUCUGCUGAGUGAAUGGCUGAACACAUGUCCAGGCUGAAAUACUCGGAGCUGCUGCUGCUGCUUCCCGGCGUGAGCGUGCCAGGCAUAGGAGAAUUUGGAACUUUGUCCUGAAGAGGUGCUCCCGAUCCCCCAUCCUGCAAAAGCACAUCUGCACAAAUCUCCUGCUCCACUGCAUCCCAGGAGGAAAGGAUCCCAGUUAAGCCAGACUGAAUCAUAGCCAGGGAGAUGAGAGCUCUGGUGGCUGUCAUCCCGAUCAAAAUCCCAGCGGUGUCUGAUGGCAUUCGGAAUGGCGCGGUGCUCGUUCCUGUCUCAGAGUGGUGGUGCUCAAAGCAAAGUGUGUUACUUCUCUGCAUUAAGGAGUCAGAUUCAGCUGUUCAAAGCAAGUUGAUAAAUUGCUUUUCAUUAAGUGUCUGAGCGCCAAGGGGUUCGGUGUGUGUUCCAAGGAAAAAAUACAUUAAUUACAGCUUCUGUAGAGCGUUUAUCAAUCACGUAGUUAUAAACACUACUAAUGCAGUUAAUUGGAGGUAGAAAAAUUUACCUUUUUGAAUUUGUUGACUGAAGCAAUUCCGUGGCUGGAAAGACAAAUUGGAAAUUAAAACCUGGGGAUACUUUUAGUGGGAACUGCACAGUGGAGGUCGGGGCUGUUGGAGAUGGGUUACCAGGAGCUCACCUUUGUGCUCUGUCUGCUGUUCAGGGGCAGGCUGCAACAGCAGUGUUUGUUCUCUUCUCCUACAAAGCCACGUUGUGUUUCCCAUGCCAAGGGAUCUCCCUGCUUGUGGUACAGUUUCAGCUCCUUCUGUGUCCUGCCUGUACAAUUUAUUUAUUCCUCUGUGUAUGUUGGUUUGGUUUUUUAAAAGGAAAAGGCAAGUGCAGAGGAAGAAAGAUGCACAAAAGCAAACAAAAGCAUCCUAUAGUCUGUAAAACUUUCUGUGAAAAAAGAAACAUUUCAUGAAUAUAAACUUCAGGUAAAGGUGGUGUGUUGGCAGCUGCUGAAGGAGUCAGGUGAGAUUCUGCUGAAAUGUUUUAUCAGGUCUUCAGACAAAAACCUCUGGUGCUUGUGGUGUGCAGAGGCUUUGAAGGCACCUUGCACGUUCAUGUUGCUUUCCCUGUGGCUGUUUUGAACUGCCAGCUGUGCAAGUGGCUGUUUUUCAUGCUUCUCAGGAAAGCAGUGAGAAUAGCAGAGACUUUUUACAGUAGCUCACCACUAAUUUAUUUCUUGUCCUUUCUUCUAUGGAGUUGUUACGAGGUGGCCUUUGAGUUUCCUGAGAGAUUGAUAAGAGCAUUAGGUCUGUGUCAGGACAAGCUAGCAGGACACCAGCACCUUGUUGUGAAGGUUGACAGGAAAACACCACCCCAAGUGUCUGGUCCAGCUCUUUGGUAUUCACCUGAUGGCUUCUAUUUUCUGCUGGUGGGUGUUUUGUACAUGUGUUGCAGCUUCUGUUUGAGGUUCUUAAAAUGCUUUUCAUCUUUGCAGCUGGCUGCACGGUAUCUCCAACUACAGAAGGAGGUCUUAUCUUGCCCUUACAAAUGAUAAGAUGUGUAUCCAAGAACUGAUGUGUUUGUGGUCCAGCAGGAAGCUCUGUCACUGUGCAUAAUCAGACUGAGAUCUCCAGUUUUAGAUCUUAAAAACGUAUUUUUCACUGCUGGCUUUGUAAAUGGGCUGUUAAAAUUUCACCACAUGUGGGACCAUAAUUCAGUGUCCAGAGAGAGAAAUACUAAACCAGGCUGUCAGUGUGAUUGCACAGGUCAGAGUGGUUCACAUGCAUGACCAAUGCUAACCAAAAUCCAUCCUCCCUGUGAGCCCAUGUUCGCACACCACCAGCACACCUGGUCCAAAAGUGAGUCAUUUCCUAUUUUUAUUCCUUUAUGUACAUGUUCAGUUUUCCUUUUGUUAUGAAGUAUAAUGCAUUCUGCCUCAUCUUAUUUGCAAAUAUUUCUCAUUUUCAAGUGGAUCUAUUUUUAAAACAGGACUCAAAACAUAUUUUUCAAUAGCUAACAAAUGUCUGCUCUGUUGUUUGUCUGUUGAAUAGAGGUAAAAUUUGUUCAAAGUUAUCUCUAAUUUUUUUUUUUAAAUAAUCAGCUUGGAAUAAACAGGGAAAGAUAGCUGCUUUCCUACCCAGGAACUGUCGUAAUCUGUAACUUCUAACAAUAUUUUAGAAGGAAAAACUGUCUUCCUUCUGUCAUGUGCAGCCACAAGGAUUUCUGUAAGUCAAGAUUAAGUCUUUAAUUCAGGGCUUUUACAGAGUAAGUGUGGAGUGAGAAGAGAUAAUAAAACUGGUGAUCUUUGUGAAGCAGCCACAGGAGAGGGAACUGUUUCAUGUUUCCUUUCCCCUUUGCAUAGGCAGCUGUUUGCUGUACCUAAAAAAAACUUCCUUUUCAGGUCUGGGAAAGCAAGACAGCCAAGAGGGAGGAAUUCUGCCCAAGAGUGGCAUGAGGAAGCUCACAUUUCUUGCGUGUCCUGUGUGGUGAAGGAAAGCCCAGAAUUAUAGCCUUGUGCUUCUCCCCCACAUGGAACACAUAGGAAAGCAGCACAUAACCUUGUUCCUGCUGAGGAUGUUGAGGUUAUAACUGCAGCCUGUCCCCUAUGGGAAAGGGGUCAGUGUGUAUUUUGGUUUCUUAUCACUUGAAGGCAGAAGGAAGUUGCAUAAAGGAUGGGGAAUGUCUGUUGGUGGGAAUGCAUGGUACCUCCACUGGGGUAUGUGUGAGCAGCAUCCUGUAGUUUGGUAAAGGCUGUUCUGGGUUUCCUUUGGAUGGAAGUCAUCUCAACUAACCUUAAUUUUCCCUCAUGUUCACAUGAGAACAGGCAGGCUCAUGUCUGUAAGUCUUGUUCUGUAUUUCAGAGCUGCUGUGAUGUUGGAGAUGCUGCUCAAGCAUGUAGGAAGAAGUUGGGUUUAGUUUGCCCCGAGGGUAAUGGGUGCUUUGGAGGAUGGAAUGUUUGUUUGUGCCUGACAGUAUCUUGUUGAGGAAAAUGAGAUCUUUUGUGAAUGUUACUGCAGUGGGUAGGGAGUCUGUUUUGCAUUUUGAAAAUAAAAAUGUAAGCCUGAUAUCCAGGGCAAAUUAUUUUGGUGACAGUGCUGGCCUGUGCUCUUAGCUGCUGUGGUUCAACUGUAGCAUCCUUUGCUCCCUCCCCAAAUGGCCAUGGAGCCAUAUACACCCAUCAGAUACAUACCAGCCUGUGUCUUCAUCCCCAUUUCCCACCAGUACAGCAUGAAAAAAUUGAAGUUGGAAGUUACCAUAUAAAAGGAGAAAGUUAAUUAAAGGUCAGAGUGCUUUAGUGUAGUGAAAAUUGAGAGGAGGCAGAUACAAAGUUAUUCAAAUUGCUUUUGACUUCAGGCAGGUCGAUUUUCCUAUUUCUUGCAUAUGUUCCCAUGGUAAAAGUAGUAUCUCAUCUGUCUCACAACUGACCACUAGUAGUUGUGUUUCAAGCCCAGCCAGAAAUCCUCAUUUGAAGCUUUGGCCAGGCCCUACAAUUGUCCUGACUUGUCUUUUCUACAUCUCUCCUCCACCUUAGGAGUGGCACAACACCUGGCAAGACCUACUUUACUCCUCUGUUGUCUGUCAGCUCCUGCCACGUUGCAGAAUACAGAGUUAAAUCUAAAAAUACUCUUAAAAAGAGGUGAGGGCUUUGAGCAAAGUAAAGUAAGCCACUGAUUUGGGUCAUGAAAGGGAAUUGAUGUCACUGGUUCUUCGUUGCAGCUUUCUUGAUCUGUUCUGAGCUGUGAAGAUGGAGAGGAGCAGGGGUGAGCAAGUGGUGCUCAGGACAGGGAAAGGUGAUCUGUGUCCAUUUGUCCUCAGGAGACUGCCCAGACUCUGACCUUGUAAGCCUGAUGUGAGAAGUCAAGGUGGUGUUAAAUACUUUGCAGUUUCAUUUGUCUUCACAGUCUUCAGUGGUAGAAAACUGUCACCCACUGCUGUCCUUUAAACAUGCAGUGACCAUGGCAUCAGGUGAUUAAAUGCUUCCUCCAAAAUUAUGUAAGGAACCUGUGGUGAGCCAGAUACCUCCCUGCAUCUCUCCUGUCAUAGACUAGUCCAUCAUCAGGAGACCACUGCUCUAACAUAAAUAUGGCCAAAAAACCUGGAGCCAACUGUAAAAGGAGUAGUGUGCAAUUUUUGCCUGUGUCAGAGUGUUUAUGUGGCUUCAGUAAUGUUUGUUAAGUGCUUUGAUAUGCUUUGGUGAAGGACAGUGUGUUAAUAAUUAAAAUUGUAAAGAAGUUCUGGAGUAGCAUGGGGUUUGACAACCGCUUUCUGGUCUGUUAGUUAACAAAAAUGCAAAAUAUAAAUGGACGAAUCAGCAGGAAUUGAGUUGAACGCUCCCUUCCCCCAGCCACCUGCAUGGGCUGAGCACAGAAAGCAGCUAAUUGUCUGCUCUGCUGCAGAGAUGAAAGAAGCUGGUCCUGCAACAGGAAAGGCUAUUGAACUGCAUGAAGGUGGUAAAUUAUCAGCACUGAAAACCUUUUGAGUCGGUAUCUUUACGUGCUCAAAAAGUACAUUAUUUGUACUGGUAUUGACAGCGUUCAGGGGCUGAUAAAAACAGCGUCUGGUGACGUGAAUCUUGUGUUUCAGUGCCUGUAAUUAAGAGGUCUAUAAAACUGAAACUUGUUUUUUGAAACUCUGCACCAUCGCCCUGUUUGGGUGUAGUUGAAGGGUGUGUUUGGUGAGGACAGGCCCUCAUAAUGGUUUUAUCUUGGCCCAGCUAACGAGCUGUUUGCAGAACUGCUCUGAUUUGCAGUGGGCAGACUGUAAAGCAGCCUCGUGUUUGUCCAUUUUCCUGCUAGCAGUUCCAUUUGCAGAGUGCAGGCAGGAGCAGGCUUCUUGCCAGCAACAGCUUCAUUCAGAUUAGGGCUUUAGUUCAAUUAUGUCCAAUUAACUUUUAUUGCAGAUAGCAGUGAUAAUUACUUGCAAGUCAAUUUUUUGGCUGUGGUUAUCCCAAGGCUAAAGUCUGAGCUUGAUGGAUUUUAAUAACUGAGGUGACGUAUAGCUUUUCCUCUUUUUUUCCUUCUUCAGGCCUCAAUUAGAUGAAAGGUCAGAAGCUAUGUAAAAAUCCAUCUUACAAUUAAAGCCAACUGUUCUACUCCUUGGCAGAUGCAUAGUACUGUGUUUUAAAAUAAUCUCUUGGGACAGACCUAAAAAAAGGCUUUUUAAACUCAAAGAUCAUAACCUUGAGCUGGCUGCUGCUUUAUCCGAGGAGUGAAUUUGAUGGAGCUGAUGUCACACGUGGCAAUACCUGAAGCUGAGAGCUGCCUCCCUGGCUUUUUUUAGUGCACUGCAUCCUGUUCCAAAUUGCUCACCUAGAAGCCUUCAGUAGUAGCCCUUGGGCAUGAGGAGUGUGAUAUGAGCAAUAUUCCAUUUAAGUGCUGUUAUCCCAAAGCUGCUUCUUUUUCUUCCUUUUUGGGUGUUGCCAUCCCAGCUCAGAGAGAGGAGCAGAGCUGUGCUAUGGCAGCAUUUAAAUUCUCCCUGCCUUCCCCACCAAACUAAUUUUGUUGCCUGAGUAACAUUAUAAAUGGAGGUCAGCCUGAAAGGUGAUGUGGUUUACAAGCAAAAUCAUAGUUAAUUAAAUGGCAAGAAGCAAAAUUGAUUUUGAUAGAAACUGUUGCAAGGGUUCCACAAAAGGUCCACCUGAAUGCAGAAAGCCAAAGGUCCUGUGCUGGCAGGUGCUGACAGUGCACUCCCCAUGCUACAAAAGGCGACUUUCUAUUGUUCAGUUUCCUAGUUAUUUAUCCCCAAGUCCACUCCAUGCUAGUGUGAUUUAUUGCCAUUUCAGAGGGCAACUUCUCUGCCCACUGUUUCGCAGUUUUCCAUUUAUAAAGCAUUAAGAGGAUGUGAUACCAGCCAGUGAUGAAUACAGUGCUAGUUUGGUAAUUUUCUUCCAGGAAACUCUAAGAUUUAUCUCUGGCUCUUCAGCAGUCCUGGGAAAGGGCCAUUCUGGUAAGUGCCCAAGAAUAAAGGGCAGUUUUAGAGCUGGAAAAAGGCAGGAAGCCUGCAGGAUGGGUCUAGACACUGUCAAGCAAAGCAGGGCUGCCUGGAAGGAGUUUUAUUGAAUGCUGAGGAUGGCAGGAGGGUUCAAUGUCUGCCGUUGACAUGAACAAGUCUUUGAAACCCCUACACUUUAGGUUACUUUGGGAGAGGAAAAAGGAAUUAUUCUCCUUGGUGUUGAGCAGCCUGCCGGGGGGUAAAUGAGACACUGAGUUUCCCUCGGAGCAUGAAAAUUGGCCAGGAUUCAAUUACGUUUCCUGGCAAGCUCUUGCAGACAUUUGUACCAAAGAAACUUCCCAGCCCGGGUUAGUUUUUGUUGUUGCCUGCAGCACUGAUGUGCUCUGAACUUGGCAUGUGCUGCCUGCGCUCGGGGGCUGCCGUAAAUCCGCCCGUGGCUCUGGAACUUCAGGGUGGGGAUGGAACUUCAUGGAGCUGCCUUGUGACUGAAGAGCAGAGCAGGAGCAAAGCAGAGCAGCCACAAGGCUUUAACAACCCUCACCCAGAGGCUCUCGGGACCCCAGGGUGCUGGAAACUUGGAAUAGUUUGGAGAUUUUUCUUUUGUGUGUGGGUGGAUGCUCUCGCUUCCUCCUGGCCUCGGGGCUUUGUCAACAAGCCCACAGUUCAUCGUGGAAUUUCAAACAUGUGUGUUUACUUUCAGGAACCUAACUUUAGACUUUACCAGCUCGCUUUCCUCUAAACCAGCUCGGUUUCCCAUGUUUCAGUGGCCAGGGGUGGUUUGUGGGGAGUUGUUUCCUUGUGUUCUCAUCCUGUAAAGCCUCUCAAGAGCUUCAGAGGCUAGUGUAUCUGAAAACUUGGCAAUAACUGUAUCUGUGGUCCAUUUAUGUGAUGACAAAACUGUGUUAGAAAUUUCCUAGUAGUUGCUUUACAUCUAGAUUUUACUCUAGGUUGUAAAAGUACCGCCUGGUCUGAGAAGCACAGAGGCAAUAAAUACUAAAUGUUGACUAUAAUUCAGAAAAUGAUAAAUUUUUAAGUCAAGAAAGGCGAUAUUGUGGUAAGUUCUACUGGAACUGAUUCCUAGCUCUGCAGGGGUGUCCCUGGACAGUGGGUUCUUCCAUCCUGGUGAGCCUUGUGGUGACAGGGGACACUGUGCUGCCUGAACCAAAAAACAUUCUGAUGUGCAAGACUGAAGGUAAUAGUCAUUGUGAAGAUGUGCCAGUUACCCCCAAAUCCCAAGCACUGCAAAUCCCUCUUAAGCUUAACAUGCUUUGAUUUAAUUAUUAAUAAAUCUUAGGAGAAAAAAAAUCUGUUCACAUGUCUAAACCUGCUAUUUUGUGGAGCAUCCUGCAGUAUGUGUGCUGUUAAGAUUAUAUCCCGCAGCCAGAUUAGAUUAAAAUCACUUCAAAGAGGGGUAUUUAUUUAUUUAUUCCAAUCUAAUGAUUGUUUUCCUCUAGAGAUAUGCUUUAUCUUUUUUUAUAUAUGUAUUUUCAAGACAGAGCUCGUUGUGCUGCAUUCGCCAGUGUACAGAAUCUGUUUAAAAUGCAGUUUAAAACCUGAAGUUUUCAUGGUUCACAGCCCUCCAUGGCUGGGUGCCACAGCCUACUGGUGAGAUCACUCUCCAGUUUGCAGCUGACUGUUUAGAUGACAGUGUGACUGACCCUGGUACAGUGCAAAACCCUCUCCAUUCCAGUUCCCCCAGUAGCACAGCAUUCAUUCUUGGAGGGGCUGGAGCUUUGCAGGUGCUGGUGCCCACACAAGUCGCCACCAUGGAGCCAGAUCUGCAAGUGAGAAGUCCUGAUGUGCCAAGUUCAGUUCAUCUCCAGCCCUGGACUAAUUAGAAGGAAUAAACCCAAGCAGGAGGGGCUGAUGGGCCCAGCUGCCAAUCCUGAGACAGCCAGUAGUGCUCACCUCAAUCCCAAACACAGCCCAUGCCAGGGAUUUCAGUUCAGUUCAGCUGGUGGUGAGCUGGAGUUGUCCAUGCCAGCUCAUGCUGGGGAAGAGUCGAGUCAGAAAGUAAUAGUCAGGUGCUGAGUAUCUCAAAGGGAAUAAAUGUUGGCUAAUUUCUAACUAGAAAAAAUAAAUGGGGUGCUUGUCAAGAUUUUUCAAAUGCGUUUGUUUUCUUAAAUCUUGAGAUCUUGACUAUGAAAACUGGUAUUGAUUUCACAGAGAAGAAAAACCGAAGCAGGAUUUUAAUUAUAAUAAAUUCAGUGAUGGAGUUAUGGUUAGCACUUCUGUACAAGUCUGAAUUUCUUUUUCUUGUGCUCAGCAGUGACCUAGAUGUCACCAAUUUGUUUACUGCAAAUCAAGCUGAAAGAGCGAUUUUAGGCUUCCACUUCAAAUUAUUUCUAGUAAGUCCAGGAUUUCCUUGAAAAUUAUUAUUGCCACCCCAGUCUUUUAUGAACCUUUGGCAUUACCUAAAACGAUUAUCUGCCUGCAGGAGCAACUCGCCUUUAUAGCUCUCUCUAAAACAUUGCUCUCCAUACUGGAGCUAAAGCUUCUGUAAAUACGUGUUUUGACCUUCAAGGAAGCACUGCUGUCAUGUAGCAGGAGCCUGGCUAUUCCGAGGUGAAUGCUGUGACCACUCCUAAUCACUUGUUCUCUCUCCUAAUGUGCCAUUAUCCUGUUUAUUGCUGUGUGCACCUCGCUGGGGCACUUGAGCAAGAGGCUUUCUGAGAGCAUCACAGUUCAGGCUCUAAUGAGCAUUAAUGAUGGAGCAGGUGAGCAAACCCUCCCCUCAUCUUGCUGCCAGAAAUGCUGCUCCCUCAGUCAGAGCACGGCUGGGCUCUUUCAGGGCUGCACACAAACUUGCCAUCAAUUAAAUAAUGUUUUAGACACCGACCUCCUUUGGGCCUGCAGGGAUAGGAAGUGAAUCCUUGGUUGGUGUCAGACGUUAUUGGAGUAAAAGGUGGAUGCUCAGAUGAAUAUGGGAAUAGUGUGAUCUGUUUUUCUGUCUGCAGUGAAGGCUCUUAAUUUUGUUUGUCUGCUUUUCACUGAGAAAUAGGUCUUGUUUGUGCCAGCCUUCUGAAGUUGAUGAAAUGAGGAAAAAAGGAAAAUACAAUUAUUAUUUUUUUCUUGCUGACUCUGGGUGUUUCUGUUGCUUACUCAGGUAAAGCUCUGACAACUCACAGUGGUUUUGUCUUCUGAUUAAAAGGAGCUAGAUUUUUGUUUUGUCUUUUGGUCUUGCUGGGCAUGAUUUGGGACGAGGAACUGCUGCCCACAGGCUGUUUGCAAAGUUUCACUGAAUGUUGUGUACCCUCAGUCAGGACUGAAUCUCAUCUGUAAAGGCUAAGCAACUUUUCAGUUCCUCAGGCAAUUCCUUGAUGUUGUGGAUGUGACAGGUCUUCAGUCAUCAUUUCUGAAAGACUCCAAGAAUUCCAUCUCCUUCAGAGAAUCAGAAGAAAAUCCAGGUUUAGGUUUAUUUUACCAGGUUUUACAUGUCUUGGACUUUGGGCAGUGCAGAUUGUUGCUGUCUCCUAGGAAUGAAAUGGAGAAUGAUACAAAUGUAUUUUGUUGGUGGUUGUGCUGUCAGCCCUGCACCUUGGUGAGGUUCUGUGUGUGUUUCUCACAGCACCAGGUCUGUGUUACUCUGCGUGGGAAGGGUGAAUGGGCAACUGCCUGGGUUGUCAGACUGGCAUUCAGUGCCCACAACUAUUUUUGUUAGUCACAGCAGCACCCAGCAGGCUCGGUCAGCUUUGGACAGCACUCGCUCAGUGAAGAUGCAGAAGCUCUCAUGAAUUAAUAUUUGAGAUUUCUUGGCCGUUGGUUUAAUCAACCUUUGCGUGUUGAGCUGAGGAGAUGCAUAAACAUGGAGCUAAUGAGCUGUACACAGUGAGUAAUUGCUGUGCUGCAGGAAAGCUUUAGUCCACGCUCUUCACUGCUGCCAGGUUCCAGGGGCACUCUGACCUGUGCUGAUGGUCUGAGCUGAGGUUUUGCAUUCAAAAGGUCUCUGCAGAAAUCUGCUCUGGGAGGUUUCUGGAGCAUGAAGGUGGCAGUGCUGACAGUGUCACAUCGCUGUCAUUGUUUGUGCCGUCUCAGCAGUGAGACUCUUUCAGAAGUGGCCUCUCAGAGGUUUUGGCAGAUGUGGCUUCUCAUGUCUGGGCUCGAGCUUUCUCCUUCCUCCCCUUUUGAUCUUUGAAUGCUUUCUCAGUUAUUUUAAUUGAGGUUUGUGAAACAAUGACUAAAAUUAAAUCAGCUUACAAGUCUUGAAUCCUUCAAAUCUUCCCAUGUUUUGGAGGUCAUGUAACAAGUCCCAAAGCCUUUCUAGCUGCUCCUUAGGUGUUUUGCUCUAUAUAGCAGCACUGAUGCUUGUGGACAUCUGGACAAGGAGAAAAAAAUCUGAUUUCUCCAGCUUGGUUCUGUCACCUUGUUUCCCAGAACUUUCUAAAGUGCUGCAUCCAGGAGGAUUUGAGCAGGGGCUUGGACCAGAUGGCCUCUAGAAAUCUUGUUCCAGCUUAAAUCUCUAUAAUUCUAGUAACAUUGGACACUUUGAGCCCCAGUUAGCCUUGUUGCUGGGAUCUCUCUUUGCACAGCAGUGGUGGGGUUUGAGGGAAGUUGUGCCAUGUUUAUAUACAAAGAGCUUUAGUGCUCCAUUUCAAGGUUUGGUUUCUUACAUGCUGGACCAAACAGAAGAGGAUGGUGGCACCUCUGCAGCCCCUUUGUGCACAUCUUGCUGUUACCUGCCCCACAGCAGCUCAAGUCUUUGCUGUAGUGAAGUUGUAGCCAUUCAUCUUUCAGCCUAAUGGACCACAGAAAUUACAAGCUGUAGCAUGCAGCUUAAUCUUGCCACAAGGCAGAGUGCUGCAUACUUUGCCUUCAAUUUAUGCAUGCCAUGCCUUUUGGUUAAGUGCAAAAGAGCAGUUGACAGGGUUUCUCCACAGAAGUUGCCUUGGUGGAUACCAGUGCAUUUCAACAUAGUGAAAUGAGUGAUGGUGGUUUCUUUACCAUUCAUAAGAACCACCUUUGAAAUGUGAGGACAGAGCUAUGGAUUAUUCUCUGUGUGUCAAGCAGCAGAGGAGAGCACAGCAGCUAUUUUGGUUUUAACCCUGCAGAUGACCCAGUUCUUGAAGUAUUUCCGUUGCCGUUAGGAGACACAGUCAGGGCUGGAGCAGCGGUUGAGCAUCUGUGCUUGGUCAGGCUUUCACCCAGGGAUGGCUCUUUGCCUCUUUCUUUUCUCUGUUCCUCCUUGUAUUAUAACUUUGAAUUGUCUCUC
RNA transcript from Serinus canaria (Common canary), 11543 nucleotides. It is a transcript of the gene named family with sequence similarity 222 member B, with no coding region annotated. The transcript has 4 exons. NCBI's taxonomy places the organism in Eukaryota, Metazoa, Chordata, Aves, Passeriformes, Fringillidae. The record is from RefSeq and is a predicted model, not a curated record.